This is a long non-coding RNA of Rattus norvegicus (Norway rat), 543 nucleotides long. RefSeq lists it as uncharacterized. The record is from RefSeq and is a predicted model, not a curated record. Lineage: Eukaryota; Metazoa; Chordata; Mammalia; Rodentia; Muridae.
CAGUAAAAAAAAGUGCUCACUGCAGGGUCUGCAUGAGAGAAGAAGGAGUAGGAGCCCAGUGUUCUGCAGAGCCCAGGUCACAGGGGAUGCAUGGAGCACGUGCAGGUGGCCUGAGGGCAGUAGGGGACCAGCUUCCCUUUCUAUGUUUAAAGAGCCCUGUCAUGAACACUCUGAUGUGCGUCAUUUCCUGGGGGGGCCCUCCUAGCCUGGAGCUCGCCUGGCAUCUGUCUGGCUCAAGAUUUAGAAACCAGGACUCAAAGCUUGCCCAAAGCGAGACAGAUGAUAAAUGGACACCCUUCCUGUGACACCCCAACAGAGCUAGGGGCUGAAGUCAUGCAGCUCACACAGGGCUCUGAGAGAGCCCUGAGCUCCUCUCCUCUGGUCUUCAGGUCUCUGAAGCUUGGGCUGACUGAAGAUACAGAAGAAAUACAAGGAGGUGCCCAGGAGCCAGAGGGAGACAUUUAUCUUCCCCUGAUAAGAAAGUGUCUUGUCCUCCCUAUCCAGGGUAACUCAUGAAUUCCCGCAAUAAAAACAUUCGUUGAC